This 253-nucleotide ribosomal RNA is filed under the name uncultured bacterium. RNAcentral's name for it is "partial 16S ribosomal RNA". It matches the Rfam family "Bacterial small subunit ribosomal RNA", at positions 524 to 776 of the family's 1533-position model. The record is from RNAcentral.
UACAGAGGGUGCGAGCGUUAAUCGGAAUUACUGGGCGUAAAGCGUGCGUAGACGGUAGCGUAAGUCAGAUGUGAAAGCCCCGGGCUCAACCUGGGAACUGCAUUUGAGACUGCUCUGCUCGGGUGCGGAAGAGGGAAGCGGAAUUUCCGGUGUAGCGGUGAAAUGCGUAGAUAUCAAGUGGAACACCAGUGGCGAAGGCGAGUCUCUGGACAUUUCCUGACGCUGAGGCACGAAAGCCAGGGGAGCAAACGGG